Molecule: unclassified non-coding RNA, 322 nt
Filed under: Hevea brasiliensis (rubber tree)
Lineage: Eukaryota; Viridiplantae; Streptophyta; Magnoliopsida; Malpighiales; Euphorbiaceae
Source: RNAcentral
CGAGGAAGCGGAAACUUUGCAACAUAAUAUCUUUCUAGGACGUUCCAUGUUCUGCACCUGGCAACUCUGACUGAUGCUAUAGAACGGGUUACCCUUGGAGAGUGACCCACUCUGAAAUUGUUACUCUCCCAACAAUUUCCACCAGAAGUGACCGAAGAAGGCUUAGGAAACGACCCAAGAAGCAGAGACUCCAUAACCACCAUCUCCAACUGAUUGGGAACUGAUGCUUCUUAAGUUAAUCAGAAGUCCGAAACUACUGCUACUACUAAUCUCUCUUUCUGUGUUGCUCCUGUCAAUAGAAGAAAUUAUUUGAGUGAGAAAG